RNAcentral lists this ribosomal RNA (310 nucleotides) under uncultured bacterium. RNAcentral describes it as "partial 16S ribosomal RNA". It matches the Rfam family "Bacterial small subunit ribosomal RNA", at positions 503 to 807 of the family's 1533-position model. The record is from RNAcentral.
AAGAGACAGCAGUCGCCACGGUAAAACGGAGGGUGCAAGCGUUAAUCGGAAUUACUGGGCGUAAAGCGCACGCAGGCGGUCUGACAAGUCAGAUGUGAAAUCCCCGGGCUUAACCUGGGAACUGCAUUUGAAACUGUCAGGCUGGAGUCUUGUAGAGGGGGGUGGAAUUCCAGGUGUAGCGGUGAAAUGCGUAGAGAUCUGGAGGAAUACCGGUGGCGAAGGCGGCCCCCUGGACAAAGACUGACGCUCAGGUGCGAAAGCGUGGGGAGCAAACAGGAUUAGAUACCCCAGUAGUCCCUGUCUCUUAUAC